This 700-nucleotide ribosomal RNA is filed under the name uncultured bacterium. Its description in RNAcentral is "bacterial SSU rRNA". It matches the Rfam family "Bacterial small subunit ribosomal RNA", at positions 57 to 753 of the family's 1533-position model. The record is from RNAcentral.
GCAGUCGAACGGCAGCACGGGAGCAAUCCUGGUGGCGAGUGGCGAACGGGUGAGUAAUAUAUCGGAACGUGCCCAGUCGUGGGGGAUAACGUAGAGAAAUUUACGCUAAUACCGCAUACGAUCUAAGGAUGAAAGCGGGGGACCGUAAGGCCUCGCGCGAUUGGAGCGGCUGAUAUCAGAUUAGGUUGUUGGUGAGGUAAAAGCUCACCAAGCCGACGAUCUGUAGCUGGUUUGAGAGAACGACCAGCCACACUGGGACUGAGACACGGCCCAGACUCCUACGGGAGGCAGCAGUGGGGAAUUUUGGACAAUGGGCGAAAGCCUGAUCCAGCAAUGCCGCGUGCAGGAAGAAGGCCUUCGGGUUGUAAACUGCUUUUGUACGGAACGAAAAGGUCUGCCCUAAUACGGCGGGCCCAUGACGGUACCGUAAGAAUAAGCACCGGCUAACUACGUGCCAGCAGCCGCGGUAAUACGUAGGGUGCGAGCGUUAAUCGGAAUUACUGGGCGUAAAGCGUGCGCAGGCGGUGAUGUAAGACAGUUGUGAAAUCCCCGGGCUCAACCUGGGAAUUGCGAUGGAGACUGCAAGGCUAGAAUCUGGCAGAGGGGGGUAGAAUUCCACGUGUAGCAGUGAAAUGCGUAGAGAUGUGGAGGAACACCGAUGGCGAAGGCAGCCCCCUGGGUCAAGAUUGACGCUCAUGCA